RNAcentral lists this ribosomal RNA (260 nucleotides) under uncultured Rickettsia sp. Its description in RNAcentral is "partial 16S ribosomal RNA". It matches the Rfam family "Bacterial small subunit ribosomal RNA", at positions 237 to 508 of the family's 1533-position model. Lineage: Bacteria; Pseudomonadati; Pseudomonadota; Alphaproteobacteria; Rickettsiales; Rickettsiaceae. The record is from RNAcentral.
ACGAUUAGGUAGUUGGUUGAGGUAAUGGCUUCACCAAGACUGACGAUCUGUAGCUGGUCUGAGAGGAUGAUUCAGUCCACACUGGGACUGAGACAGGCCCAGACUCCUACCGGGAGGCAGCAGUGGGGGAAUAUUGGACAAUGGGCGAAAGCCUGAUCCAGCAAUACCGAGUGAGUGAUGAAGGCCUUAGGGUUGUAAAGCUCUUUUAGCAGGGAAGAUAAUGACGUUACCUGCAGAAAAAGCCCCGGCUAACUCCGUGC